AUCAGCGGCGAACGGGUGAGUACACGUGGGUGACUUCCCCAAAGACGGGGAUACUCGAGAGGGGCGGGGCUAAUACCCGAUGUGCUCAGCAGUUCACUCUGUUGAGUAAAGCUAUGGCGCUUUGGGAUGGGCCCGCGGCCCAUCAGCUAGUUGGUAGGGUAAAGGCCUACCAAGGCUAAGACGGGUAGGGGGCGUGAGAGCGCGAUCCCCCACACUGGCACUGAGACACGGGCCAGACUCCUACGGGAGGCAGCGGUGAGGAAUAUUGCGCAAUGGACGAAAGUCGUGACGCAGCGACGCCGCGUGGGCGAUGAAGGCCUUCGGGUCGUAAAGCCCUUUUCUGGGGGAAGAGAAAGGACGGUACCCCAGGAAUAAGCCCCGGCUAACUACGUGCCAGCAGCCGCGGUAAAACGUAGGGGGCAAGCGUUAUCCGGAUUUACUGGGCGUAAAGAGCGUUGAGGCGGUUUUGUAAGUUGGGCGUGAAAGCCCUGGGCUUAACUCAGGGAAGCCGUACAAUACUGCGAAACUUGAGGGCAGCAGAGGGAGGUGGAAUUCCCGGAGUAGCGGUGAAAUGCGUAGAUAUCGGGAGGAACACCAGUGGCGAAGGCAGGCUCCUGGGCUGCUCCUGACGCU
Molecule: ribosomal RNA, 633 nt
Filed under: uncultured organism
Description: bacterial SSU rRNA
Rfam family: Bacterial small subunit ribosomal RNA
Source: RNAcentral